Molecule: ribosomal RNA, 279 nt
Filed under: uncultured bacterium
Lineage: Bacteria
Description: partial 16S ribosomal RNA
Rfam family: Bacterial small subunit ribosomal RNA
Source: RNAcentral
GACGAACGCUGGCGGCGUGCUUAACACAUGCAAGUCGAGCGGUAAGGCCCUUUCGGGGGUACGACGAGCGGCGAACGGGUGAGUAACACGUGGGUGACCUGCCCUUACGCUCUGGGAGUAAGCCUGGGAAACGUGGGUCUAAUACCGGAUAUGACCUCAUGACUCAUGUUGUGGGGUGGAAAGCCUUGUGCGGCUAGGGAGUGGGCCCGGCCGGCCUAUCAGCUUGUUGGUGGGGUAAGUUGCCUACCAAGGCGACGACGGGUAGCCGGCCUGAGAGGG